Molecule: long non-coding RNA, 3274 nt
Filed under: Homo sapiens (human)
Lineage: Eukaryota; Metazoa; Chordata; Mammalia; Primates; Hominidae
Description: HSALNT0117742
Source: RNAcentral
GGUCGCUUCUCGCAGGCGGCGCGCUUGCUGGGUCACAGUGAGGCGGCUCCGCGCAGGCGCAGCCGGGCGGGCGAGGAGCGGGGAAGCUGACUCAGGGCUGCGGCCGGGGUCCUGCGGGGUAGGAGCGCGAGGCCGGCCUGAGGGAGGAGGCCUAGCGACCCAUCCGGCGCCUCCCGCCCCGGGCACCCGCCCGCGGCCGCGCAUCCUGCGGGCCCCAGGAGGCCUCCAUCUCAAAACAACGUGUUUUUAGAGAACUCAAGGGCUGUGAAAAGAGCAGGACCUCACCAGCUGCACGGCGGUGGUGACUGGCUCCAUCUUGCUGUCCCUCCCAAUCACACAACAUCUCCCCUUGAAGGCUCUGCCCAGGCCCGGACUCCCACCUUUCAAGAUGUCUGGAUCAGUGCAGGACCUCCUCCUUGGCCACAUCGCUCUCCUUGGACUGGUUCGUUAACCCUGUUUUACCCACAUGCUGGAGUGCAAUGACUCGGUCUCGGCUCAUUGCAACCUCCGCCUUGCAGGUUCAAGUGAUUCUCCCACCUCAGCCUCCCAAGUAGGAUUACAGGUACACACCACCACGCACAGCUAAUUGUUUUGUAUUUUAGGAAGAGAUGGGGUUUCAUCAUGUUAGCCAGGCUGGUCAGGUGAUCCAUCCGCCUUGGCCUCCCCAAGUGCUGGGAUUACAGGCGUGAGGCACUGUGCCCGGCCUGCCCCCCUUUUCUCUUGAUGUAAGUGGACAUUUUAAUCCAUAAUCUGUAACAUUUAUGUAUUAAGUUUACUACUAUCUUUGGUUUGCAGUGUUGACUCACCUGUGGAGUGGUCUGAGCCUGAAUGCCCGGGGCUGUGGCCACCGAGUGAACGGGCUGUGCUAAGGGGAAUUGCCACCUUGGGAAACCUGUGUAGUUGCGGCUUUUCUGAUUAAGUAUCAAUAAAAGUCUGACCUUGUGAAAAAAGCAAACGUGAGUGGCCCUGCUUAUGUUUCACCUUGCGUUGCUCAGUGAUAGUUCUGCAAAGUCGCAGGAAACCUGGAAUCAUCUAAUUAUCGUGAGUGUUGGUGAGUAACACCCAUAGGCACUGGCUCCCGGGGAAAUACGUUCCUUAUUUAAUAAUGUCUAGUUGAUUCAUUAACAUGGAAUUCAUGGCCAGUACCUCUGUCACUCAUGCCUGACUGAAGUUGAUCAGCACGUCUUUUUCUCCCUUAGGCACAUGACAGCCUUCUUGCAAUCAAGAAACUACGUGUGGCCAGGAUCUCAUCCACUAUCACAGUUUCAGCUUUCCCCAAACUGGAAUGUGUCUUUGCAGACGCCCAUCCUUAUUAAAGGGCAAAGACUUCUCAUACACCUAGGAUGGAUCUUAUAUUCUUGGCGGGACUGCAGAGAAGGUGCCGUGUCCUGAGUCCUCAUGUCAGGGCACAGGCUUCCAGCCAGUUCUACCUGGGUUAUGUUUAUCUCAAUUCCCUGGUGGUAUUGGUGUCUGCUGGGUUUUGCCAGAAUGAAGACACCGUGUUUUCAUUUGUCAGUUGAUUCGUAUUUUCCAGGAAGACAUUCUGAGAUUACAGCAUUGUCUUAGUCAAGGUGCUGCAGAAGGACAGAACUAAUAGGAUAUAUGUACAUAUGAAAGAAAGUUUAUGAAGAACUGGCUCACACCAUCACAAGGCAAAGUCCCAUGACAGGCCAUCUGCAAGCUGAGGAGCGAGGAAGCCAGCAGUGGCUCAGCCGGAGUCCAACAGCCUCAAACGGAAUCCAACAGUUCAGGCUUCAGUCUGUGGCCAAAUGCCCAGAGACCCCGGAAAGCUACUGGUGUUAGUCCCAGAGCCGGAAGGCCAAAGAACCUGGAGUGUGAUGUCCAAGGGCAGGAGGAAUGGACAGAAGCAUCCAGCAUGGGGUAAAGACGAAAGCCAGAAGACUCAGCAAGCUAGCUUACCUACUUUCUUCUGCCUGCCUUGUUCUAGCCGCGCUGGCAGCCGGUUGGAGGGUGCCCACCCCCACUGAGGGUGGAUCUUCCUCUCCUAGUCCACUGACUCAAAUUUCAGUCUCUCUGGGAGCACCAUCACACCAGAAACAAUACCAGCCAUCUAGCCACCCUUCAGUUCACCAUCACAACCAUUGUCUUAUUCAUGAAACUUCUGCAGACCCACCUUAACCUCCAUCGGUGACUUCUACCUGAAGCCCUCUGAUUGUUGCCCAGUGGUGCUUUUUAAAAUAAUUUCCAUAGUUUCUUCUACACCUUUAGUUGGCAUUCUACUGUAAAGGAGAGAUUUUAUUUUCUUACUCAUUUAUUUGUUAGUUUAUAGUCACCACCAUAUGGAUGCAGAGUUCUGUCUCAUUCACUGGGAAGUAUUCUAUUGCAGUCAUGAUUUAUUUUGAUGUUCACAUCCCAGAGUUGGUGAGUGAGCGCCCCUUCACGCUGGCUCCCGAGUGCUGACGUGUCCCCGUCCUUCUCUGCACUUUUCCUUACCUCCUGGCCUCAGAUAUUCCAGGGUCAUUUGUUCUCUCCCUGCUCCAACCCUGCAGUCAGCCAUCUCCCUAGGGACGUUGGUUCCUUUAUGGAAGGUGGCAUUUAGAAGCCAGGAUUUGGGCUGAGCACUGUGGCUCAUGCUUGUAAUCCCAGCACUUGGGGAGGCCGAAGUGGGCGGAUCGCUGGAGGCCAAGAGUCUGAGACCAGCCUGGCUAACAUGGUGAAACCCUUCCCCGUCUCUACUACAAAUAAAAAAUUAGCUGGGUGUGUUGGCACGUGCCUGUAAUCCCAGUUACUCAGGAGGCUGAAGCACCAGAAUCUCUUGAACCCAGGAGGCCGAGGUUGCAGUGAGCCAAGAUUGCACCACUGCACUACAGCUUGGGUGACAGCGCGAGACACCGUCUCAAAAAGGAUAAUAAUUUAAAAAACAGCAGGAUUUGGGUGAGCAGUGCGCUCAUUGCUUCUGGGCUCUCUCGGUGGACAUAGGCUAGGAAUGUAAGAUGUAUGUGCCUGUGUAUAUACACACGUCUGUAGCUAUGUCUAUGUUGCAUACAUGUGUUUUUCCAAAAACCAAAUCCAUAACCAUGCCUUCAGUUUCAGCCCAACACCUCCGGGCUCUUUCUAGCUUUCUACCUUUCAUGAUUGUGAAUACCUUCUCCAGCAGUGAGAAACCUGGCUCCUUUGUCCUCAGUGGAUUUUCUUAUUUGCUCAAUUUUUUUGUUUUUUGUUUUGUUUUUGUUUUUGAGACAGAGUCUUGUUCUGUCACCCAAGCUGGAGUGCAGUGGCAUAAUCUCGGCUUACCGCAACCUCUGCCUCCUGG